Molecule: long non-coding RNA, 686 nt
Organism: Hippocampus zosterae (dwarf seahorse)
Lineage: Eukaryota; Metazoa; Chordata; Actinopteri; Syngnathiformes; Syngnathidae
Exons: 2
Source: RefSeq, a predicted model, not a curated record
CAAGUGAACUAUACUUAGACUUUUGUAGUGAAGACUGCCUUGUUUAACAAAAUGUAGCACUGUCACUUUAAGAGCCACGCUAGAUGAAAACACGCGGGAACAUAUAGAGCGUGUGGGAAUCAGACCAGGAAGCGAAGUAAGCUUGACAUGCACGUGAAGGAGGGUAGUCGUUGAACUGUGCCUAAUGCUUGUACCAACUUGAUACACCCAUGAUCGUCGUUGAAACCCUGGUUAUAUUCAGAGCAAAAUAUCGUGGUUUGGAGUUUGAAAUCUGCCGUUCGUGAGUGGUGCGAACAGCUGUAUAGCAGGGGAGAUAAUUUGUGUCUUUCCACGUGUUUUGUAUACACCCAACAUGCCGGAAAGUGUAGAGUAAGUGUGUCCUCUCAUCACAUUGGAUUGUAAUGAUUGCACUUUUAAGUUUCAUGGAUUGUUGGAGCUUGGAAAUAAUGUAUUUUUAUUUCUCUUUCCUUAUCAAGUAAGCCACUGCUGUUGUUUAUUAUGGUGAAAUUUUCCUUAAUCUGUUAGAUAAAUUUCUUUGAUCUCUUUUCCAACUCUUUUAAAAUUCAGUUAACAUCUUAGUCUUUCAUCUUAAUGCUGAACAAUUUUUCAUUGUUCAGUCGGGAAUAAAGCCCACCUAAAAAGUUUUUUGUGUCCAGUCCAGUCUUUCCAAAGACCCGGCUACACAA